AGUAUGAAUAUUUCAGUGUCUGACAUAUAAUUUGAAAACUAUAUGCAGCUUCCCCUCUGUCAACUUGUGCAAAGUACUUGACAUUUUUUUUUUUUUUUUUUUUAUGAUUACAUGAGACUAUUGCUCAAAUUACAACUCAUAUUACAUGAGAAUAUACAUGAGAAUAUACAUGAGAAUAUAAUUGAUAUUUACAAAUCAGACUAUAACUGGGACCAACAUACAUCAAUAUUAAUGGAGCGCUGCCUAGAUUUUAACCCUUUCAAAUAUUCGAGGGAUGUCUACUCCUCACACUUGGGUAAAGAAACAGACUGCUUUUACUCAAAUUUACUUGAGGAAGGAAGACCCCCACAAUGCAUUGUGGGGGUUCGAACUACUGCUCUCCAAGUUGGAGAGCAGCAGCUCUCACCACUCGGCCAAAGGCCG
RNAcentral lists this long non-coding RNA (423 nucleotides) under Citrus maxima (pomelo). RNAcentral's name for it is "long non-coding RNA (CMAX_LNC003472)". Lineage: Eukaryota; Viridiplantae; Streptophyta; Magnoliopsida; Sapindales; Rutaceae. The record is from RNAcentral.